Long non-coding RNA from Brassica rapa (field mustard), 5703 nucleotides. RefSeq lists it as uncharacterized. The record is from RefSeq and is a predicted model, not a curated record. NCBI's taxonomy places the organism in Eukaryota, Viridiplantae, Streptophyta, Magnoliopsida, Brassicales, Brassicaceae.
UCUAUUUAAAAAAAAAAAAUCACACAUGAAAAGAAGUCAUGACUUCUGUUUUAAUAUAAUAGAUGAUUUUUUGUAUUAUUAUUUAUUUUGAGGUAUUUACAUAUUAUAAUAUAAUAAAUAUAUAUUAAAUCUUUGAGGAAUUAAUAAUUAUCACGUAUAUAAUUAAAUUAGCAAUCACAUGAAUCAAAACAAUCACUAUUGUUAACCAAGCGGGGACGGCUCAGUAGUCUUAAUGGAGCUUUGGCCUCAAUACAGAUCCGGGUUCGAGUUAUGCUAGCCACCGUCGAUUAAAAUGAGGUGAAAAAGACGGCCCUCCAGAAUACCUUCUGCGGAGGUGUACUUAGGCGCUAGUCGGAUUCCCUAUGGGGUUUCCGGAUUACCUGAAUUAUCAAAAAAAAGACACAAUUACUAUUAUUUAUUUACAAUCACUCUAUAUAAGCAAAUCCAAACCAUCUUUUUGUAUAUUUUAUGUGAUAUAUAAUUAAAGUUUAAAUGAUAUAAACAUAGAUAUAUAUUCUAUUUUUUGGCUAUCUAUUAAAUGAGGUUUCAUACUCAUAUGGUUUCAUAAUUGUUUGUGUAUUUUUAUAAUAAAAUUUUUAAAUCAGUGAUUACAUAAUUUUCAGUGUGGUAUGUUUAAUACUUAUAGUAAUUCAUAAUCAUUUUUAAAAUUUUAAUGCAAAAUUGAAAAUUAAAAUAUUAAGUUUCCAAUAUUUUUUCUCAGAUUUUGAAAUUAAAAUAUUUAUGCAUUUUUAGAUGGUAUAUAGUUUAAGUUAAACUUAUUAAGAAUAUAUAUAUAUAUAAUCUGAAUAUCUAUUAAACUAAACUUCGAACUUAUAUGAUUUUAUAAUUUUUUAUAUCUUGUUAUAACAAAAAAAUUUAAACUAUUAAUCACAAAAUAUUCUAUGUAGAAUUUUUAACGUUUCAUUAAUUUAUAGUAGUCUUUAAAAAUUCAAAAUAUAGCAUACAUGAAAGAGAGGUUAAACAAAUUUUACGAAAAAAUCUAUUUUUUAUUAUAUAGUUAACAUGAUUGAUUAAUUUAUUUUACAAUAUAAAACUAAACAAAAAAAGAGAGGUUAAACAAAUUUUUAUCAAAUCUUUCUUAUUCAAAAUCAUUAGUUUUCAUAUAUGUUUUAAUCACAUUAGUUAAUUGGCAGUUUUCUCAAGUAAUCAUUUUUAAGUUUUUAUCACAAAAAUAGUCUUCAAUGAAAAACUGACCAAAAUAGCUUUUUUAUUUUAAAAUUUUUAUUAUAUAUAUUUUUAAAAAAUUUGGAACCCUAUCCUCAAAACUUUACCCCUUAACUCUAAACUCUAAAUCUAGAUUAGUUAACCCUAGGAUAUAAAUGUAUAUUUAUCCUUUAAUAAAACUUAUUUUGGUCAUUUUCUUCCUCGUGAGUUAUUUUUGUGAAAAUAAACUAAAAGACAUAUCCUAGCGAAUUUCUCUUAGUUGUUAAUUCUGUAACUUUUAUUUAAUAAAGAAAAAAAAGAACAUUAAUAUAUAAUAGUUUGUGGUUAGUUUAAUAAUAUGUCUAUAUAGACCAACUUAUUUCUCUAAAACUUCUAAAAAUCAUUCUAUCGAUAAUACAUGUCAUAGUUCAAAAAUUGUAAUGUUCUCAAAUAAUAUAUAUAAGGGAUAUUCGGUAAAUUCUACCGGACAUCACUUCAAGUUAAAGUCUGCUAACUAAUUUUUUAUUAAAUGUUCAACAUUUCUGUCAAUUACAUUAGAGAUUAUAUUUCUUAUGAUACAUUAGAGGUUAUAUGUGACAUGGAGAGAGAUUUCACAGUAGACUAAAUCGGGAGGCGAAAGUUGGGCAAGUGCUGAUCGGGUGUCGGUUGGACAGUAGACUUGGGUUGUUAAAUGUUUAUGGUGUUUAUGGAUUCUCACUUAAUGUUAAAUGAUAUUAGUUUAUUCCUUGUGGUUGCUUUGUUUAGGCUCUGGAUAUUUUCACAUGCACCAUAUUUAAUAAUAACAAAAAAAUUUACAUUUUUUUAAACAAUUCUUUUACAUAUAUUUAUGUAUUUAUAUAUUCUAUUUACAAUUAAAACUGCAGGCAGUUGUCUCGCAUCAUGUUACCAUUCUGAACCAUAGUUUGAGAUGAGUUUUUUUUUUUUUUAAUUCUAGUCAAAUCAUAGAUUACAUGAUCAUAUAAUAUAUAUUAUAUUACAUAUAAUAAUCAACUACCUGUAACAAAUGUGAACAUGAUGAACAGUUUUACGAACAUCGAUUCCAUGAUGUAAUUUUAUAACACGUUGAUCGUCAGACGGUUCUGCAUGUACGACAUUUUCGAUAGACAAGUUUUUUUUGCAGCGCAUGAGCAUAAUAAACGGUGAUACAACAUUUUGAAAUUUUAAAAAAAAAAUAGAUUGUAUAAUCUGCAAGAAAUUACGUUUUUUCUUUUUCUUAAAAUUGAACUUCAAACUUUGAUGUAUUAACCUUUGAAUCCUGAUCACUAGACCACGACAUUUUCACAGUAAUCUAAAAAGAAAAAAAAAAAGACUUGUCCGAAGAGUGAUAAGAUUAUAAGUCUGGAUAUAAUGCAAAACGUUUGGGUACUGUGGAUCCGGGGACAUGUGUUUACAUGUUGUUGUCCCAUGUUAUUCUUAUCUCUUUACGUAUUUUAUAGAUUGAUAUGGUCAACAUCGAUGACAGCUUCCACCGACACCAAUCCAAUGUAACGUCUAUCUUCAUGGUUUAUUAUGGCUUGAUUUUCGAAAAAGCAUUGCCAUCUUCAUUUUUGAUUAAAUGUUCUGUAACAUGUCAAAUCCAAUAAAUCAGAUUAUUUUUAAUUAUUUUCUUUUUUUCUUUUGAGAAAGUUUUAAUUAUUUCUUGGUCUAAUUUUAACUAAUAAUAAAGAAAUUAUAAAAAAAAAAUUUACAGAAAUUUUAUUUUGAUAAUUUUAAAAAUUCAAUUAUUUUUCCAUUGUUUUGUUCUAUCUAAAAAGCUUCAUCUCUUCUUUUUCUCCAAUAAACCAAAAUAAUGUUUUCUUUACAACUAUUUACGGUUGAAUUAAUAGACGAUCAGACUUUUUUCCCGUAAUGAAAAAGAAAAACUACAAAGAAACAAAGAGAGACAAAGACGGCAUAUACAAGGAUAGACGUCCUGCAGCUAUGCAAACCAAAAUGUGACUACCGAAGAGAAGCUAAAUCGAAUUUGACCUAAAAAGAGAGAAAAGUAUUUACUUGAGCUUUUAAAUUCAGUUGUCUUAUGUCUCCACUCUCCAAAAGACCAUAUUUUAAUCGCUUUUAUUUUUAAUAAAUUUAAAAUUUAUUCAACUUGUGACACAUCAAGUGCAUCUGUUCUUGAUUCCUCUAAAGAAUCAAAUAAAUGAAUCUAAGAAAUCAAUGGAAUAAUCUGUUUAGUCUUCAUGUCUGGGCAUGCACGUGUCUCAAACCAAGUAAUUAGAGCCUCGUCAAGGUAUUUCUAGCCCUUUCCUUGUACUGAUAGAAAUUGUACGGAAUGAAAUCGACACUUUUCUAUUAUCCGACUAAACAUGGUUUAACGGUUGACUAACGAUAAGUUAGUCAAGGUAGAAUUUCAUGUUACGGAAUCAAUUUAAAAAUAAUUUUGCACUUAUAUUUUGUUUGGAUCUAAAAAGGCACAAGACAAAUAGUUGGAAUCUAAAAAGGCCACUUUCCCCUUUACCAACUUGUAACCGUUUCGAUUCUCUCAAAUAAUAAGUGAUAUAUAAUUAUAUUUGAUAGGAGCUGCUAAAAAAAUGUUUUUUGAUAGAAACAAACAAUAGUACUGUAACUAAAAUUGAUGAGAUGACCCUCAGUAUGAAGUAUUAUAUCAAUAAUACUUGUAAUUAUUUUCUUAAAUAUAUAAAAAUAUAAAUAUGUUAAUAAUCGAAUGCAUUUCUAUAUUAAGUAUUAGAGCAUCUUCAAUGUAAACUCUACUUUUUUUUCUUCAAAAUAGAGUAAAAUGGAAUAUAGAGUAAACAUGCUCUAACACUAUUUUAUUUUUUACUAUAUAAUAGAAUAAUAAAUAAAUAAAAAAUUGAUUACUCUAUGGAGUAAAUCCCAUUAUAAAAUGAAAGUUCGAAUAGGAUUAGGAUUGAAGUAUUUCUUACUACAUACUUCUUUUUACUCAAUUUUGAAGAAAAAAAUAGAAUGAAUUAAAAAUGCUCUUAUGGUUGGAGUUACAACAUUCUCAGAAAAUGAUUCUUUAGAAAUGACCUUUCUUUCAACCUAGUCAAUCCAAGAAGUAAGUAACAUGGAGAGUGAUUUUCAUGUUACUGAACAAAUAGAUGGAUUUGGAAGCAUGACAAGAAGGGGUUGGGUUGAUAAAACCGACACAAAAAUACUAAGAUAUGAGAUGAAUGACAAUUUGUAGCAAAGGAAAACGAGGCCGUAGAGGUUGAAGUUCCUAUCAAGCGCAAUAAUAUCUUACCUAGUUUGGUUUAACGUGAAAUCUCUAUAAAUUAAUAAUGUUGAGAUUACACCCAAAAUAUAAUUUUUUUAUUAAUUUAUAGAGUUAUUAAUUUAUCGAUAUAGUAAUUGAACCAAAAAUUUAAUUUGGGACUAUAAAAUUAUUUUAUUUUAUAGAGAUUUUUAGUAUAUAUUAAUUUAUAGAUUAUUAAUUUAAAAAGGUUAUACUGUACUAAGUUUUCUUACUUAUAUAGCUUUUUCUCUGUCUACUUCAUAUAUCAAAUUUUCUUAGACUAUAUGAUCUAACAAGUCACAUCUUGUACUGUUUUAAAUUUAAUGAAAGUAUUUUUACAAAAAAAAUCCAACACGUUUUAAACAUGCAUAUUUUAAUUAUUUGUAGUUUUUUUUGCUGGAACAUUUUAUGAUUUAUAGCUGGUUAGUCAUUUAAAAAUAAACUUUGACAAAAAGAAAAGAAGUCAUUUAAAAUAAACAUUUUACGAUCAUUGACGAAAUUAUCCUCAAGAAUCAAUAUAUAUGACGUAAUAUAUCAUAAAUGGGUAAAACUAUUUUGUUAGACAUGUAACUAUAAUGAAUUGUUUAUUUACUUUACUGAAUGAAUCUUACUAUUUUUUUGGAUAACCUAGUUAUUUGGCAGAUUUGAGACUCAACCGACUAAUUUUUAGAGGCUUUUUCAUCAGCGCUAAACAUUUCUGGUUAUUCCAAUAGAAGUUUAAUAUUCAUUUCGCUUAAUCACAUAAAAGAACAUAUCUAAGAUGAUAAAUUUCAUCCGAAUUACUUUUUUCAUCCAAAGUAUUUAACACCUUUUCAAAUCCACCGUAUAUAUAACUCGACGACGCUGGUUAGGAUCUUAGUCUUUUUUUUAUUUUGAAUUUAUGGUUGUUAGGAAUCUAUCAGAUAAUUCAACAUGCAUAAAAUGUUUUUUCGGUGGAAAAGUCACCUGUUCCGCAUUCAAAGAUCAAAGUCAAAUAUUAAAACAGUUGUGCUGCGUUCAGACAAAAAAUAUAUGUGAUGCAUUUUUCCGUUUACUUUAAUUUUAUACCCAAUUGCCAGUUACUAAUUUAUCUCGAUUCUUCUAUCAUUUAUUUAAAAGUUGAAACAUUUUUCUUUACAUUGAUGCUCAAUGUUUCCACUCUCCGAGACGUCAUUUGCAACAUGUUCGGUUUUGUAUGACUGUAUCUAAAGGUAUAAAGGCAAGAACUUUCAAAUAGUAGACAUCAGUCGGAGUAUUAGGAAAAGACUCGAUCUGGUCAUUAAUAUCUACAAUCAAAUUAACAGAAAAUACCCUACACUUGUUCACACCCAAAUCAACCAAAGUAA